GGGUGUAGCCAAGUGGUUAAGGCACCGGAUUUUGAUUCCGGCACUCGUAGGUUCAAAUCCUGCCACCC
RNAcentral lists this transfer RNA (68 nucleotides) under bovine gut metagenome. It matches the Rfam family "tRNA". Rfam says of the family: Transfer RNA (tRNA) molecules are approximately 80 nucleotides in length. Their secondary structure includes four short double-helical elements and three loops (D, anti-codon, and T loops). Further hydrogen bonds mediate the characteristic L-shaped molecular structure. tRNAs have two regions of fundamental functional importance: the anti-codon, which is responsible for specific mRNA codon recognition, and the 3' end, to which the tRNAs corresponding amino acid is attached (by aminoacyl-tRNA synthetases). tRNAs cope with the degeneracy of the genetic code in two manners: having more than one tRNA (with a specific anti-codon) for a particular amino acid; and 'wobble' base-pairing, i.e. permitting non-standard base-pairing at the 3rd anti-codon position. The record is from RNAcentral.